CCUACGGGAUGCAGCAGUAGGGAAUAUUGCUCAAUGGGGGAAACCCUGAAGCAGCAACGCCGCGUGGAGGAUGACGGUUUUCGGAUUGUAAACCUCUUUUGUUAGAGAAGAUAAUGACGGUAUCUAACGAAUAAGCACUGGCUAACUCCGUGCCAGCAGCCGCGGUAAUACGGAGGGUGCAAGCGUUACUCGGAAUCACUGGGCGUAAAGCGCGCGUAGGCGGGAUAGCAAGUCAGAUGUGAAAUCCUUUGGCUUAACCAUAGAACUGCAUUUGAAACUGGUAUUCUAGAGUAUGGGAGAGGUAGGUGGAAUUCGUGGUGGAGGGGUAAAAUCCGUAGAGAUCAAGAGGAAUACUGAUUGCGAAGGCGACCUGCUAGAACAUAACUGACGGUGAUGCGCGAAAGCGUGGGGAGCAAACAGGAUGAGAUACCCUAGUAGUC
This 440-nucleotide ribosomal RNA is filed under the name uncultured bacterium. RNAcentral's name for it is "partial 16S ribosomal RNA". It matches the Rfam family "Bacterial small subunit ribosomal RNA", at positions 338 to 795 of the family's 1533-position model. The record is from RNAcentral.